UACGAAGGGGGCUAGCGUUGCUCGGAAUCACUGGGCGUAAAGCGCACGUAGGCGGCUUCUUAAGUCAGGGGUGAAAUCCUGGAGCUCAACUCCAGAACUGCCUUUGAUACUGGGAAGCUCGAGUCCGGGAGAGGUGAGUGGAACUCCGAGUGUAGAGGUGAAAUUCGUAGAUAUUCGGAAGAACACCAGUGGCGAAGGCGGCUCACUGGUCCGGUACUGACGCUGAGGUGCGAAAGCGUGGGGAGCAAACAGGG
RNAcentral lists this ribosomal RNA (254 nucleotides) under uncultured bacterium. Its description in RNAcentral is "partial 16S ribosomal RNA". It matches the Rfam family "Bacterial small subunit ribosomal RNA", at positions 524 to 777 of the family's 1533-position model. The record is from RNAcentral.